Molecule: long non-coding RNA, 617 nt
Organism: Saccostrea echinata
Lineage: Eukaryota; Metazoa; Mollusca; Bivalvia; Ostreida; Ostreidae
Exons: 2
Source: RefSeq, a predicted model, not a curated record
GAGGAAAGAGAUGAAACCAAAGGCCAUGUUACUGGUGUUCUUUAUAAUGACUCUGAGCUUCUGCACAGUCUUCACUGAUCUAGAUCAAGUUGUCGAAGCUAUUAACGAAAGAUCCAAAACUGAAAUUUCGAGAAGAGGUGGUUUUAUGUUUGUGGGACCAAGGCCCCGGCGUAGACCACGACCAGGACGUUUCAGAGAAAUACAGGUUUCAGAAAAAUAAUGGUGAACGGACAUCUUUUGGUUGCCUAGUGUACAGAUAAUUACCUCCCGAUUAAAUGUAACAUCUUAACUUCAUACGGGAUCAAAAGUAGAAUUUUGCAUUUCCAACAACGACUGGAUAUAAUGUAUGGAAAAGAUAGAACACAUUUCAUUUUCAAAUAUGGUGUGUAAGUAAUUGUGUUAAAGUUGCUAAAAGUCUUGCAUUUUUCUAUGUUGACUAUAUGUACAUGUAUAUUUGAAUAUUUGCGUGUUAAAUAUAAAAAUGUGAUUUCAAAAACAUUGCAUUGCAUAAUUUUCAGUAAUAGUUUCAGUUAUGUGAAAGUUUCAGUAAUGUGUAAUCCCUUGCAAAUACUUAUUUGCUUGGUUUGUUGUGAAAGUAUUAAACAAUUGUUAGUUUU